UUGCUCACUUUGGCAACACAGAGAUGAAAAUUGAAAUAAUAAAGAGAAGAUUAGCAUGGCCCCGGCACAAGGAUGACACAUAAAACUGUGAAGUGCCACAUAUUUCA
Molecule: small nuclear RNA, 107 nt
Organism: Meriones unguiculatus (Mongolian gerbil)
Lineage: Eukaryota; Metazoa; Chordata; Mammalia; Rodentia; Muridae
Source: Ensembl